GACGAACGCUGGCGGCGUGCCUAAUACAUGCAAGUCGAACGCUUUUUCUUUCACCGGAGCUUGCUCCACCGAAAGAAAAAGAGUGGCGAACGGGUGAGUAACACGUGGGUAACCUGCCCAUCAGAAGGGGAUAACACUUGGAAACAGGUGCUAAUACCGUAUAACACUAUUUUCCGCAUGGAAGAAAGUUGAAAGGCGCUUUUGCGUCACUGAUGGAUGGACCCGCGGUGCAUUAGCUAGUUGGUGAGGUAACGGCUCACCAAGGCAACGAUGCAUAGCCGACAGGAGAGGGGGAUCGGCCAUACUGGGACGGAGACACGGCCCAGACUCCUACGGGAGGCAGCAGUAGGGAAUCUUCGGCAAUGGACGAAAGUCUGACCGGGCAACGCCGCGUGAGUGAAGAAGGUUUUCGGAUCGUAAAACUCUGUUGUUAGAGAAGAACAAGGAUGAGAGUAAAAUGUUCAUCCCUUGACGGUAUCUAACCAGAAAGCCACGGCUAACUACGUGCCAGCAGCCGCCGUAA
Molecule: ribosomal RNA, 523 nt
Filed under: uncultured bacterium
Lineage: Bacteria
Description: partial 16S ribosomal RNA
Rfam family: Bacterial small subunit ribosomal RNA
Source: RNAcentral